RNAcentral lists this ribosomal RNA (450 nucleotides) under uncultured bacterium. Its description in RNAcentral is "partial 16S ribosomal RNA". It matches the Rfam family "Bacterial small subunit ribosomal RNA", at positions 354 to 796 of the family's 1533-position model. The record is from RNAcentral.
GUGGGGAAUCUUCCGCAAUGGACGAAAGUCUGACGGAGCAACGCCGCGUGAGUGAUGAAGGUCUUCGGAUUGUAAAGCUCUGUUAAUCGGGACGAAAGAGCCUAGUGUGAAUAAUGCUAGGAAGUGACGGUACCGGAAUAGAAAGCUACGGCUAACUACGUGCCAGCAGCCGCGGUAAUACGUAGGUGGCAAGCGUUGUCCGGCAUUAUUGGGCGUAAAGCGCGCGCAGGCGGAUCUGCCAGUCUGUCUUAAAAGUUCGGGGCUUAACCCCGUGAUGGGAUGGAAACUACAGAUCUAGAGUAUCGGAGAGGAAAGUGGAAUUCCUAGUGUAGCGGUGAAAUGCGUAGAUAUUAGGAAGAACACCAGUGGCGAAGGCGACUUUCUGGACGAAAACUGACGCUGAGGCGCGAAAGCCAGGGGAGCGAACGGGAUUAGAAACCCCGGUAGUCC